RNAcentral lists this ribosomal RNA (206 nucleotides) under uncultured bacterium. RNAcentral describes it as "partial 16S ribosomal RNA". It matches the Rfam family "Bacterial small subunit ribosomal RNA", at positions 1286 to 1500 of the family's 1533-position model. The record is from RNAcentral.
UCUCAGUUCGGAUCGGAGUCUGCAACCCGACUCCGUGAAGCUGGAUUCGCUAGUAAUCGCGCAUCAGCCACGGCGCGGUGAAUACGUUCCCGGGCCUUGUACACACCGCCCGUCAAGCCAUGGGAGCCGGGGGUGCUUGAAGUGCGUCGCCGCAAGGCGCGCCCUAGAGCAAAACCGGUGACUGGGCUAAGUCGUAACAAGGUACC